UGGGGAAUAUUGCGCAAUGGGCGGAAGCCUGACGCAGCAACGCCGCGUGCGGGAUGACGGCCUUCGGGUGUAAACCGCUUUCAGCAGGGUACGAAGCGUGAGUGACGGUACCUGCAGAAGAAGCACCGGCCAACUACGUGCCAGCAGCCGCGGUGAUACGUAGGGUGCGAGCGUUGUCCGGAAUUAUUGGGCGUAAAGAGCUCGUAGGUGGUUGAUCGCGUCGAAAGUGAAAUCUCAGGGCUUAACCCUGAGCGUGCUUUCGAUACGGGUCGACUAGAGGAAGGUAGGGGAGAAUGGAAUUCCUGGUGGAGCGGUGGAAUGCGCAGAUAUCAAGAGGAACACCAGUGGCGAAGGCGGUUCUCUGGACCUUU
RNAcentral lists this ribosomal RNA (371 nucleotides) under uncultured bacterium. RNAcentral describes it as "partial 16S ribosomal RNA". It matches the Rfam family "Bacterial small subunit ribosomal RNA", at positions 355 to 738 of the family's 1533-position model. The record is from RNAcentral.